GGGGUGUUAGCUCAGUUGGCCAGAGCGCUUCGUUGACAUCGAAGAGGUCAGAGGUUCAAGUCCUCUACAUCCCA
This 74-nucleotide transfer RNA is filed under the name Pseudomonadota bacterium. RNAcentral's name for it is "tRNA-Val". It matches the Rfam family "tRNA". Rfam says of the family: Transfer RNA (tRNA) molecules are approximately 80 nucleotides in length. Their secondary structure includes four short double-helical elements and three loops (D, anti-codon, and T loops). The record is from RNAcentral. RNAcentral also lists the same sequence under 1 other name. Lineage: Bacteria; Pseudomonadati; Pseudomonadota.